Non-coding RNA from Paramuricea clavata, 76 nucleotides. Lineage: Eukaryota; Metazoa; Cnidaria; Anthozoa; Malacalcyonacea; Plexauridae. The record is from the annotation of a GenBank genome assembly.
GACCGCGCAGCUCAGUUGGAAGAGCAUUGGGCUAGUAAUAUGCCAAAGGUAGUAGGUUCGAUUCCCACCGUGGUCA